AUGAAGGCCGCCAAAGAAGAGGAGAGAAAGGAUGCGGGGUUUGCCUUGGGAAGCAGGAUGACUGGCUUCCAACAUCUGCCACCAAGUGCUGGCCCGUUUUCCCCUCGGGGCUUUCCUGGGGACACAGCAUCUGCAGCUCUCUGCUGUCCUCUAGCGGACGCUGACUGCGCCAUCCUGAGGGGACCCCUGGCGUGCCCGGAGAGGCCAUGUCAUCCUUCAGAUUCCAAAGGCCAUUUGCCACGUGUGAUUACCUUGAACCCCAAUACAUUUCUGCAAACGUCCUUAUUCCACGGUCGAAGCCAAACUUUAUCACCCGCACCCCCAGCGUGGGGACAAGCUGGCCGUUUCCUCGAACCUGUGUCCUCCUCUCCGGGCCACAGUCUGGUGUGCAAACCGAGGAACAGCAGAGGCCGCGUCUGCUUGGCUCACAGCUCUGUCUCGGGGCCCAUUAGGGGCCGGGCGCAGCGCUGAGGCCCAGUGUCUGUGCGGAACGGGGUGCGCACCCCAGGCAACCGUGUGGCCUCGCUGCUCCCUGCGCCUCCUUCCUCCUAUUGAGAGCCCCCCGCAGAGGGUCGGGGCAUCCACUGGGGCAUCACGGGGAGGGGGGGGGCGCGGGAUCUGCGCUGAUGAGCGCCAACGGACUCUGGGAAGAGGCAUAUUUAAAGGGAAGGAUGGGGGAUCCCUGGGUGGCGCAGCAGUUUAGCGCCUGCCUUUGGCCCAGGGCGCGAUCCUGGAGACCCGGGAUCGAGUCCCACGUCGGGCUCCCGGUGCAUGGAGCCUGCUUCUCCCUCUGCCUGUGUCUCUGCCUCUCUCUCUCUCUGUGUGUGUGGCUACCAUAAAUAAAUAAAAAUUAAAAAAAAUAAAUAAAGGGAAGGAUGAAGAUAGAGGGAGGGCAGAGCUGCUGGUGGGAGGGGCGGGGGGUUGGAACAGGUCUGGACACCUACCCGAUGUGGCUGGAGGGAGGUCGGGAGAGGCAGCAGGAGUCCUGGAUUCAGGACUUGGUCCCCGCCGCACACCUGUGCCUGGGGACGAUGCGGCCCAGGCUCCCCGCCGACGCCGAACAGGCUCCCGGCCCCCCGGCUCCGGCUCCCCGCCCCGCCCGCAAAGACGCGCGCCACCUGCGCCAGGUCCGCGC
Molecule: long non-coding RNA, 1135 nt
Filed under: Canis lupus familiaris (dog)
Lineage: Eukaryota; Metazoa; Chordata; Mammalia; Carnivora; Canidae
Description: lncRNA (ENSCAFG00000048374.2)
Source: RNAcentral